UUGUGAUGAAAUGGCUUGGCCUCCUUUGCAGCAAGUUGGCAGAUGGUUAUAUAAUUUGGCUAUAAGGUCCUUGAAAGUAGUUUAUUAGGAAAAACAUUUGAUCCUAGACUUUGUAGAACAUACAACAAUAGAAAACUAGGAUUUUGUAUACUCAUGCUCCAAUGAAGCAGAAUGUCACAGCAAUUCGGCUCAAUGGAGUAUUAGUUGUUUGAUAAUAGAUGCUGCUGCAUUGCAUGCAUGUCGUUCAGAGUUUAAUAAAGAGGUAAAUGUAGAAAUUUCAUCUAUUAAAUCACUAUGUUUUAGUUCCUUAAACUUAAAUACCAAGUAAUCGUCGUCGAGGGAAUUGAAUUGAGGUAAAGGAAGGAUGACAAGAAUUCUGCUCCAGUCCUGUUGAAGAUGUUACAUACAUACAUCCACAAAAACAAAACCACAUACAUAGUAAGUAAGUUAUUCCUUCCAGUAGCAGUUAAGUUUUCUUCUUUUUGCAUAUGAAUUUGUAAAUUUCUGUGAUUACAGUAUUAGCAGAAAAGAGUGGGGGAUUUUGAGCAACAGUUAAAUAAUCAUAUUCUGUUGUUACUUGUUACUCCUAAAGGUACAAUUCAGACUCCAGUUGUACUUUACGCAUAAUUCUUCAUUUCUGUUAGAAAAAGGGUCUUUAUCAUCUUUUUUAUAUAUAUUGAAAGAAUUGACAAUGACAUGUAGCAACAAUUCUUAUGCAUCCAUUGUAUGUGAACAAAAGAGUCUAUUAAAUGAAGAUAAGAGCAUUAACUUUUUUCUUAAUUGUUGUUUCUUUUCUACUUAAUGAGAACAUGGAAUAAUAAACUAUAUGGAUAUUUCUAUUUUAACUCAAUGCAAAAAGAAUGACUUAAUAAACACAUCUAAUGUAAUGUAAUGUGUAUACAUUUACGCUAAUCCUCAAUCAUCUGUCCCAGAUUUAGGAAUGAUUAUUUUGUUUUAUAUGGCAUUGUCUAGUAGGACUCUUCCAACUAACAAGCCAAGCCAAGCCAAGCCAAGCCAAGCCAGUUGUUGACUAUCAAACGACUGACUGUGUUGAAGUUGAAGAGAACAGGGACAUUUGGCAUAUAUAAUGAAGCAAGUAUUAGUAUGUAUCUAUUUUCCUCCGAGCAUUUUCUUUGGUUGAAAGAUAGAUACUAAAUGAUGAUUACAUUUACAUACAUACAUACAUACAUACAUGAUGUUGUUAGCAUAUGCAUUUAAAUAUCUUACUCUUGCCUGUUGGUUGGUUAUAUUGGUCAUAGUUAUGUUGGAAGCUCAAAGCUCAAAGCUCAUCUCAUGAGUUGACCAUGAGUCAAAAUUAAGUAUGGAUUACCUGUUAUGAAAAGGUAUCAUUUAAUGCUCCUAGACAAUAUUCUGUUCUGGCUUUCCAACUAACAUAAUCUAAAUGAAUAUUGUAGGUGUGUUAUAAAAAGUAAAUUAAUGGGAACAGCUUGCUUAUCCAUCUUUUGUACAAGCCAAUUUCGAUCUCUAACAUGGAAUGUGGAAGGAAGGUAUCAUUAAAUACUCCUACUUUAUUCCUGACUCGUACUUUAUUUGUUUACCUAUAAUAACAAUAUACUUAUGUUGUAGGUUUGUCAUAGUACAAUGCUGCCUAUAAUGAUGUUUUAUCAUCUCAUUCUCAUCUGGUAUGUAUAAUACCAACAUACCUUACUAUUUUUACCGGCAUCAUAUAUAAUACCUUACUUACCUUCUUUAUCUAUAAUAGCAACAUUUUUUUACCUGAAACUAUUCUAUAAGUUUCAAGUUUUAUGUUUGAGUAACCAACAUUGCCAAUAUUGGUAUUUGGUAGUGAGAAUAAAGUAUGUUGCUUGCUGUUCCCUGCAGUUAAUACUAUUUUUUUUUUUUUUUUUUUUUUUUUUUAAUUACAGAGGACCCCAACCGGAUUAAGCAACCUCCGGGCCCGUUUGUCCACCUGGCUGAUCACUCCUCCCGUAUGGACACUAGGCCAUGAAAGCUGCAUAAAAAAAGGUCACGUGUCAUUUCUUAUCAUCUGUAUGUUAUAUGCUGCUGCUUUGAUAAUAUGAAAAGGGUUAGGCUAGGCUUAAAUUGUUAAAAUAUGUUUCUUAGUCGGUAGGAAAAAAGAUUACCAUUUUGCCCUUGCAAGUUUCAAACUAACUGGCAUUGAGAGUUUUGUUUUUUUUACAAUCACUUCUAAUUACCAUUAUGCCCUUGCAAGUUUCAGCUGCCAAGAAAACUAAAUGGCACCGAGUUUUUUGUUUUCCUUCAAUAUUUAGCUUGCAGUUAAUUUUUUUCUAUAUAAUUUUGAUUUUUUGUUGCAG
This 2297-nucleotide long non-coding RNA is filed under the name Lactuca sativa (garden lettuce). Its description in RNAcentral is "long non-coding RNA (LSAT_LNC009667)". Lineage: Eukaryota; Viridiplantae; Streptophyta; Magnoliopsida; Asterales; Asteraceae. The record is from RNAcentral.